Drosophila simulans is the source of this 124-nucleotide non-coding RNA. The record is from Rfam. Lineage: Eukaryota; Metazoa; Arthropoda; Insecta; Diptera; Drosophilidae.
ACCUUCCUUGUCUUGGGGAGCAGAAAUGUUCAAUGAACGUCUAGUGAGGACAUUGCUGCUGACACCAAUGAUAUCACCCCCGCUCGCCGAUCGUUCGCGAUUGGAGUUCGGAAUUUUUGGACCA